ACCGGGAUAAGCCUGGGAAACCGGGUCUAAUACUGGAUGUCCCCACCAGAUCACAUGGUCAGGUGAGGAAAUGAAUUUCGCUUCGGGAGGGGCUCGCGGGCUAUCAGCUUGUUGGUGGGGUAACGGCCUACCAAGGCGACGACGGCUAGCUGGUCUGAGAGGACGAUCAGCCACACUGGGACUGAGACACGGCCCAGACUCCUACGGGAGGCAGCAGUGGGGAAUCUUGCACAAUGGGCGAAAGCCUGAUGCAGCAACGCCGCGUGGGGGACGAAGGCCUUCGGGUUGUAAACCCCUUUCANCAGGAACGAAAUUGACGGUACCUGCAGAAGAAGCCCCGGCCAACUACGUGCCAGCAGCCGCGGUAAUACGUAGGGGGCGAGCGUUGUCCGGAUUCAUUGGGCGUAAAGAGCUCGUAGGCGGCUUGGUAAGUCACC
Molecule: ribosomal RNA, 437 nt
Filed under: uncultured bacterium
Lineage: Bacteria
Description: bacterial SSU rRNA
Rfam family: Bacterial small subunit ribosomal RNA
Source: RNAcentral